Molecule: ribosomal RNA, 253 nt
Filed under: uncultured bacterium
Lineage: Bacteria
Description: partial 16S ribosomal RNA
Rfam family: Bacterial small subunit ribosomal RNA
Source: RNAcentral
UACAGAGGUCUCAAGCGUUGUUCGGAUUCAUUGGGCGUAAAGGGUGCGUAGGUGGCGGGGCAAGUCAGGUGUGAAAUCUCGGGGCUCAACCCCGAAACUGCACUUGAUACUGCCCUGCUCGAGUACUGGAGAGGAGAUUGGAAUUUACGGUGUAGCAGUGAAAUGCGUAGAUAUCGUAAGGAAGACCAGUGGCGAAGGCGAAUCUCUGGACAGUUACUGACACUGAGGCACGAAGGCCAGGGGAGCAAACGGG